CAAAGGCAUGGUCCUGACCUUAUUAUCAGCUCUAACCCAACUUACACAUGCAAGUCUCCGCAGUCCCGUGAAUAUGCCCUCAAUCCCCUGCCCGGGGACGAGGAGCGGGCAUCAGGCACAAACUUUAGCCCAAGACGCCCAGCCAAGCCACACCCCCAAGGGAAUUCAGCAGUGAUAGACAUUAAGCCAUAAGUGAAAACUUGACUCAGUCAGGGUUAAGAGGGCCGGUAAAACUCGUGCCAGCCACCGCGGUUAAACGAGAGGCCCUAGUUGAUUUUAUCACGGCGUAAAGGGUGGUUAAGGAAGACAAAACAAUAAAGCCGAAUGGCCCUUUGGCCGUCAUACGCUUCUAGGUGUCCGAAGCCCAAUAGUACGAAAGUAGCUUUAAUAAAACCCACCUGACCCCACGAAAGCUAAGAAACAAACUGGGAUUAGAUACCCCACUAUGCUCAGCUAUAAACCUAGACGUCCACCUACAAUUAGACGUCCGCCCGGGUACUACGAGCAUCAGCUUGAAACCCAAAGGACCUGACGGUGCCUUAGACCCCCCUAGAGGAGCCUGUUCUAGAACCGAUAACCCCCGUUAAACCUCACCACUUCUAGCCACCCCAGCCUAUAUACCGCCGUCGCCAGCUUACCCUGUGAAGGCAAUAAAAGUAAGCAAAAUGGGCACAACCCAGAACGUCAGGUCGAGGUGUAGCGUACGAAGUGGGAAGAAAUGGGCUACAUUUUCUACUUACAGAACACUACGAACAUGCAACAUGAAAUAGUGCUUGAAGGAGGAUUUAGUAGUAAAAAGGAAGCAGAGUGUCCUUUUGAACCCGGCUCUAAGGCGCGUACACACCGCCCGUCACUCUCCCCUGUCAACACGCAAUAAAGAUUCAUAACAAUAAAGCACUGACAAGGGGAGGCAAGUCGUAACAUGGUAAGUGUACCGGAAGGUGCACUUGG
RNAcentral lists this non-coding RNA (951 nucleotides) under Gobio gobio (gudgeon). RNAcentral describes it as "12S ribosomal RNA". It matches the Rfam family "Bacterial small subunit ribosomal RNA". Lineage: Eukaryota; Metazoa; Chordata; Actinopteri; Cypriniformes; Gobionidae. The record is from RNAcentral.